AGAUUCUAUACUUCAAAUGACAACUUCCAAAGUUAAGUGGACCCUAUUACAUUUCUCUAUCAUGGAUAACAGGAUGAAGCUAUGAGUAAUGUGUCUACAAUUCCACAGUCACCCCACAGAUGAAGCAUGGGAAACUUUCCUUUGGUUGACUGAAGAGAUCCUUCAGCAAGGGAGGCAUCCAUCUAUCUAUGAGGAAAGAAGCAUCCAGUAAUAGAAGCUGCCUGUUAAGUACAAGAUAUUGGCUGCAUAGACACUAGUAUGUCUAAUAAAAGGUAUGGGUAGAGAUGUAAUACA
RNAcentral lists this long non-coding RNA (294 nucleotides) under Vulpes vulpes (red fox). Its description in RNAcentral is "lncRNA (ENSVVUG00000000316.1)". Lineage: Eukaryota; Metazoa; Chordata; Mammalia; Carnivora; Canidae. The record is from RNAcentral.